Cornus florida is the source of this 1554-nucleotide RNA transcript. It is a transcript of the gene named plastoglobule-localized metallopeptidase 48, chloroplastic, with no coding region annotated. The transcript has 9 exons. The record is from RefSeq and is a predicted model, not a curated record. NCBI's taxonomy places the organism in Eukaryota, Viridiplantae, Streptophyta, Magnoliopsida, Cornales, Cornaceae.
CUAUCGUGCGUGAACUACAACAACAAAGUGAAGCAAGAGAAGUGUUUCAGACCCUAACGUACACUUUCUCUCUCUGCUUCUAUGGCCUCUGUUCUUCCUUCUUCACUUAGCUUUUAUUGGAAACCAUCCACUCUUUUCUUUAAUUUGAAUUCUGCCAACAAAUCGAGUUUACGUUUGCCUCCAAUUGGAUUUGGUUCGAUCAAGAAGAAGAAUCGAAAAAUUAGAGUUUCUCUCAGCGGAGCUACCUCUGUCGUCUUUCGCGAUCUCGAUGCCGAUGAUUUUAGACAUCCUCUUGAUAAACAGAAUACGCUUAUUCUGAGGGCAAUUCCAGGAUUAAACGAGCUUGGAAAGGCUUUACUAGGAACACUUGGAGAGCAAGUCAUGCUUCUCGAGAAUAUAGGGACAUCAGUUCUUGUUUCUAAAAAUCAGCUUUCUGAACUUCAUCAAUUGAUGAUUGAAGCUGCUGAAAUACUGAACGUUGAGGCUCCUGACCUGUAUUUGCGUCAAAGUCCGGUGCCAAAUGCAUAUACUCUAGCUAUCAGUGGUAAAAAGCCAUUUGUUGUUGUUCACACAAGUCUUGUGGAGCUUCUGACACGAAAGGAGUUGCAGGCUGUUUUGGCACAUGAGUUGGGUCACCUGAAAUGUGACCAUGGUGUAUGGCUGACGUUUGCAAAUAUUCUUACUCUCGGUGCCUAUACUGUACCUGGGCUUGGCGGGUUGAUAGCUCAGAGAUUGGAAGAACAGCUGUUUCGCUGGAUCCGAGCGGCAGAGCUAACUUGCGAUCGUGCAGCCCUUCUUGUUGCUCAAGACCCUAAGGUGGUCGUCUCUGUUCUAAUGAAAUUAGCGGGGGGCUGCCCGUCUAUGGCGGAUCAACUAAAUGUGGAUGCAUUCUUGGAGCAAGCUCGCUCUUAUGACAAAGCUUCUUCAAGCCCAAUGGGGUGGUAUAUAAGAAAUGCUCAAACGAGGCAACUUUCACAUCCUAUUCCUGUCCUACGAGCUCGUGAGAUUGAUGAAUGGUCAAGAAGUCAAGAGUAUAGAAUUCUUUUGAAUCGUGCAAUACAGAUUAAUUCUGUGCAAAAAGUUUAGCAUUGCACGAUAGAUGGAGUUUGAAAUCUAGCACAGCUCGAAUACUUCCUCAGUUGUAUGUUUUUAGGUGCUUAUUCAGGUUCCUCAAUGCUGAUCUGUUUUGAUGUGUUUCCUCAACGCUGAUCAGAUAUAUACUUGCGAGGCGAAGGAGAGUGCAAUGGAUGAAGUGUGGAUUCAACUUAUAGUUAACUGCUGUAAAAUCGUUGUUUCUGCGAGGAUUGGACUCAUUUUGGUGUGCUGUAAAAUAUUGGUUUAUCCAACUAUUGUAAAUUUACAAUAAGGAAACAAUAGUGGGGUAGGUUUUUGGUCUGAUGUGCGAAAAAGAAGUUUGGAUUCUGGAAGGCAUUACAAAUAGCAUAUACACUAGUGAAAUCAGAUGAUCGUUGUUGUAUGAUACAGUUUCACCAUGUUGACUUGUACUCGAUAUAAAAAAAUUAUACCUACUCAAGUUACGUUAUGGCUUCAAAA